This is an unclassified non-coding RNA of Callithrix jacchus (white-tufted-ear marmoset), 299 nucleotides long. It matches the Rfam family "Metazoan signal recognition particle RNA". Rfam says of the family: The signal recognition particle (SRP) is a universally conserved ribonucleoprotein. It is involved in the co-translational targeting of proteins to membranes. Lineage: Eukaryota; Metazoa; Chordata; Mammalia; Primates; Cebidae. The record is from Ensembl.
GCCAGGCGCGGUGGCGUGUGCCUGUAGUCCCAGCUAUGCGGGAGGCUGAGGCUGGAGGAUCUCUUGAGCCCAGGAGUUCUGGGCUGUAGUGUGCUAUGCCGAUCAGGUGUCCGCACUAAGUUUGGCAUCAUAUGGUGACAUCCUGGGAGUGGGGGACCACCAGGGUGCCUAAGGAGGGGUGCACCAGCUUAGGUUGGAAAUGGAGCAGGUCAAAACUCCCAUGCUGAUCAGUAGCGGGAUUGUGCCUGUGAAUAGCCACUGCACUCCAGCCUGGACAAUGUAGUGAGACCCUCUCUCUU